RNAcentral lists this ribosomal RNA (1452 nucleotides) under Mycobacterium intracellulare subsp. chimaera. Its description in RNAcentral is "16S ribosomal RNA". It matches the Rfam family "Bacterial small subunit ribosomal RNA". Lineage: Bacteria; Bacillati; Actinomycetota; Actinomycetes; Mycobacteriales; Mycobacteriaceae. The record is from RNAcentral.
UUAACACAUGCAAGUCGAACGGAAAGGCCCCUUCGGGGGUACUCGAGUGGCGAACGGGUGAGUAACACGUGGGCAAUCUGCCCUGCACUUCGGGAUAAGCCUGGGAAACUGGGUCUAAUACCGGAUAGGACCUUUAGGCGCAUGUCUUUAGGUGGAAAGCUUUUGCGGUGUGGGAUGGGCCCGCGGCCUAUCAGCUUGUUGGUGGGGUGAUGGCCUACCAAGGCGACGACGGGUAGCCGGCCUGAGAGGGUGUCCGGCCACACUGGGACUGAGAUACGGCCCAGACUCCUACGGGAGGCAGCAGUGGGGAAUAUUGCACAAUGGGCGCAAGCCUGAUGCAGCGACGCCGCGUGGGGGAUGACGGCCUUCGGGUUGUAAACCUCUUUCACCAUCGACGAAGGUUCGGGUUUUCUCGGAUUGACGGUAGGUGGAGAAGAAGCACCGGCCAACUACGUGCCAGCAGCCGCGGUAAUACGUAGGGUGCGAGCGUUGUCCGGAAUUACUGGGCGUAAAGAGCUCGUAGGUGGUUUGUCGCGUUGUUCGUGAAAUCUCACGGCUUAACUGUGAGCGUGCGGGCGAUACGGGCAGACUAGAGUACUGCAGGGGAGACUGGAAUUCCUGGUGUAGCGGUGGAAUGCGCAGAUAUCAGGAGGAACACCGGUGGCGAAGGCGGGUCUCUGGGCAGUAACUGACGCUGAGGAGCGAAAGCGUGGGGAGCGAACAGGAUUAGAUACCCUGGUAGUCCACGCCGUAAACGGUGGGUACUAGGUGUGGGUUUCCUUCCUUGGGAUCCGUGCCGUAGCUAACGCAUUAAGUACCCCGCCUGGGGAGUACGGCCGCAAGGCUAAAACUCAAAGGAAUUGACGGGGGCCCGCACAAGCGGCGGAGCAUGUGGAUUAAUUCGAUGCAACGCGAAGAACCUUACCUGGGUUUGACAUGCACAGGACGCGUCUAGAGAUAGGCGUUCCCUUGUGGCCUGUGUGCAGGUGGUGCAUGGCUGUCGUCAGCUCGUGUCGUGAGAUGUUGGGUUAAGUCCCGCAACGAGCGCAACCCUUGUCUCAUGUUGCCAGCGGGUAAUGCCGGGGACUCGUGAGAGACUGCCGGGGUCAACUCGGAGGAAGGUGGGGAUGACGUCAAGUCAUCAUGCCCCUUAUGUCCAGGGCUUCACACAUGCUACAAUGGCCGGUACAAAGGGCUGCGAUGCCGCAAGGUUAAGCGAAUCCUUUUAAAGCCGGUCUCAGUUCGGAUUGGGGUCUGCAACUCGACCCCAUGAAGUCGGAGUCGCUAGUAAUCGCAGAUCAGCAACGCUGCGGUGAAUACGUUCCCGGGCCUUGUACACACCGCCCGUCACGUCAUGAAAGUCGGUAACACCCGAAGCCAGUGGCCUAACCCUUGGGAGGGAGCUGUCGAAGGUGGGAUCGGCGAUUGGGACGAAGUCGUAACAAGGUAGCC